Molecule: long non-coding RNA, 1363 nt
Organism: Mastomys coucha (southern multimammate mouse)
Lineage: Eukaryota; Metazoa; Chordata; Mammalia; Rodentia; Muridae
Exons: 6
Source: RefSeq, a predicted model, not a curated record
AACGCAGUCUCCAGAGAAGUUCAGUGACUUGUGGGAAAUCCCAGAGAGAUAGAAGUGAAACCUGUAGCAGAAGGUCAGACACCAUCCCAAGGCAGCGAGCGACGCGUGACCAUUGGACUGCCCCACAGCCAACACUGCGGCUCCAUCCCUCCAAGCAAUCAGUGACUUGCCCCACGCCACCUUGGUGGGUCCUUUGAAGAUGGCGUGAGUUGGGGCAUGUGAAGCUUUUAAAGCACCGUCUUUCAAACAAAGCACCCAACCCGAGAUGGGGUGCCUGCAGCCAUCCUACACCAUAGAAUGAUAGUCUGUGGACUGUAGACUAAUACAACGGACAGACCUGGGUUCCUGGAGACAGAUGGUAACAAUCUAGCUGAUAGUACUAUGUGGCCAGUGUGGAAUAACUAACGGAACAGGUGUCCUUCCAUUCUGUAGACACUCUGGAAGCUUCCACCGAGUCCUUCUCUAAGCUUCAUUGUAGACACCGCAUGAAGAAACAGCUACACUUAGAAGCUUGAGAUUCGUCUAGCUACAGAAAACCAGAGGUGCCCUCCAACCCAGUCACGCAGGAUGCCCGAAGCGUCAGCUGCAGUUUUCUCAUCCCGAUAGCAUCCCGUAAGGAUGUGUUAGCAGCUUGCUUGCUACUGAAGUCAUUAGGAUGACAGCCUAGAUCUUGGACAGCCCUAAUAAGGUUGUGAGAAAUCUGUUCCGAGUUAGAGGUGAUGUGUUCCCCCACUAAGCGCCCUCGUGAAACAAAAUCAAACGAAAACUCUGAGAGGAGCUCAGCUUGGGCUCCAGUGGACUGUUCCAGUUUACUGUGUGGCUUUGCUAUGAAGUGUCCCUACAGAGGAUCAUGGCUUAGAGCCUUUGAUCCCAAAGGUGGCAAUAUUGAUUGGACUGUGAAGACAUUAAACCCACCAGUGAAUGGGCCCAUUGAUAAUAUCAUAGAUGAAUCAGUUUGCAGAGGGAACACCUCCCUAGAGGAAGCAAGACACUGGGUCAUCAUGUCUCUGAAACAUCUGUCUAUUCCUGAAUCCUUCCUGUCUCCCUCUCUCUGCCUUCUUCGUGCCAUGAAUGAGCCACCUGGCCCAAGCACAUAUACCACCAUAACGUCCUGUCUCACCAUGCCAACCAGAAGCAGCAGAGCCAAAUGACUAAGGACCAAAGCUGCUGAAUCCAGGACGCAGCAAGCCUUUUCCCCUUUAAGUUGAUUUUCCAUUGGCACUUUGUCAUAGAGAUAAAAUAUACUAACAAAUCCCACUCUAGACUAACAGCGAAUGUCCAGGGGUUGCCAAGUUCUUUCAUGAAUCCCUAGAGGAACAGAACUGAAAGAAUGAGUCGAGUCUGUCUGUCUAUCUAUCUAUCU